UGAGUUAUAAUGGAAUGUUCAUUGAAAAUGAUAAUGAAGUUUAUGGUAUUGUUGGUUGUUAUUGUGAUGAGCUUAAUGGGAUGUGCAUAUGCAUCACAACCAGAAAUCAACAGUGUUGGCACUAAUAGAGAAGUAGUUCCAGUUCCAGCUUGCUACAUGCUAUGCGCUUUUAACAAGCAAUGUUGUCCUCCAGUUCCUAAACUCUAAAUUUGGGUACUCCUUUAAAUAGGUUACAAUAAUACUAUUGAGUUUGAGAUAAACUCGACCCAUGUAAUAAUUGAGCAACAAGACUAAAUAAAAAAUAUCAAUUCUUUUUAUUUUUUUAUUUUCCAUUAUUUGAGAUAUGAGUAUGAAUCCUUAAAUUUCAUUUUUAUGUGUUGAAGUUAAUGUUAAUAUGUGGAUCUGUUAUUGGUUUGGAGUAAAAUAAUAUAGUGCUAUUUAUAUUUUAUUAAGUAAUACAUUAUAGUUGCGGUAAUAAUUUUUGUGUGACAUAGUUAUAACAAUUUAACUAAAUUACCAUAAAACACAAUUCUAAUUGANAAUGCUUAAAUUGUCUCAAAUUUUAUACACACGAUCAUCAUGUAUUAUUAGAUAAUUUAAAUUGAAUUUAUUUAUUUUAAUUUCUGUAGGUUUUAAUUUUUUAAGUAUGAUAAAUUUGACACAAUAAGCAAUAGAUCCUAAAAAACACUCACUUUUUUCUACUCUAUCUAUAUGAAGAAUAAAUUAUAACAAAAUAUUAUAAUUAUAUUUAAUUUACAUUAUUGGUAAAUAAUAUGUUUCCUUAACUUGAAUAAUUUUUUUAAUUGAGUCAAAUUUUAAUUAAAAUUAUUAAAUUUUAAUAUUAAAUUAUUUAUAUUUUAACUAAAGAUAUACGUAUAAUAAUGAUUCUAAAUUUGGACAAUAUUAUCCACAUGCGUUGUUUUAAGAGAUAAGCAUCAACAAUUGUAUAUAAAUAAGCAGCUAUGGUUCAACAUUCCACACAAAGGUUAGUCUAUAAUAUUUCUUUGCAAAAUACAUUAUAUUAUUGAGUUAUAAUGGAAUGUUCAUUGAAAAUGAUAAUGAAGUUUAUGGUAUUGUUGGUUGUUAUUGUGAUGAGCUUAAUGGGAUGUGCAUAUGCAUCACAACCAGAAAUCAACAGUGUUGGCACUAAUGGAGAAGUAGUUCCAGUUCCAGCUUGCUACAUGCUAUGCGCUUUUAACAAGCAAUGUUGUCCUCCAGUUCCUAAACUCUAAAUUUGGGUACUCCUUUAAAUAGCUUACAAUAAUACUAUUGAGUUUGAGAUAAACUCGACCCAUGUAAUAAUUGAGCAACAAGACUAAAUAAAAAAUAUCAUUUCUUUUUAUUUUUUUAUUUUCCAUUAUUUGAGAUAUGCGUAUGAAUCCUUAAAUUUCAUUUUUAUGUGUUGAAGUUAUUGUUAAUAUGUGGAUCUGUUAUUGGUUUGGAGUAAAA
RNAcentral lists this long non-coding RNA (1449 nucleotides) under Lathyrus oleraceus (garden pea). RNAcentral's name for it is "Pisum sativum (pea) long non-coding RNA (PSAT_LNC037659)". The record is from RNAcentral. Lineage: Eukaryota; Viridiplantae; Streptophyta; Magnoliopsida; Fabales; Fabaceae.